AUCUUUAAAGUUAAAGAAUAUGGCAGUAUUUUAAUUUUUUCAGAGGAACCUGUUAUAUAAUUGAUAGUCCACGAUUAGUUUUACUUAUUUUUUAAAUUUAUAUAUCAUUGUAGUUAAAUAUUUUUAAAAUUUAAUUUUAUCAAAUCAAGGUAUAGUUUAUAGGUAAGAAGAUAUGGGUUACAAUUAAAAAUUGGAUUUGAAAGUAAACUCUAAAAUAUGUACAUAUUGCCCGUCGCUUUUGUUUUUAAAUGAAAUAAGUCGUAACAAAGUAGGUUUACUGGAAAGUGAGUCUAGAAUCAAAUUAGAGCUUGAAAAGUAUUUUAUUUACAUUAAAAAGAUAAUUUAAUAAUUUAAUUUGAUUUAUAUCAAAAAAAUUAUUGUAUAUAAAAUUUUAAAGUUUAUAAAAGAAAAAGUUUUAUUUUUAGUAUUAUUGAAAAAAUUUUAUAAUAGUUUAUUAGUAUUGUGAAAGAAAUUGUUUAAUUAUAUAAAAGAAAAAUUAAGUUUUGUACCUGUGUAUCAGGGUUAAUUAAUUUAUUUUUCUCGAAUUUAAAAGAUUUAAUUUUAUUGUAAAAUAAAUAUUUAUAAUUAUAAAUUGGAAAUGAAACGUUAUUCGUUUUUAAAUAUAUCUAGUUUUAAAAGAAAAUAGUUUAAUUAGUUUUUUUUUUUAUAAAAUUUUUAGGGAUAAGCUUAAAAGAUAAUUUUUAUAAAAAUUUAUAUAUAAAAAAUUUUUAGAAUUAAAAAUUUUUAUUAUUAAUAGUAUGUUAUAGUUAAUUUUUAAUUUGUUUAUUUUAAAAUAUUUUUUAAUUAGAUAAAAAUAGAUAUUAUGAUUAAAUUAGUAAGGUUAGUUUUAGGAACUCGGCAAAUAUUUUCUCACCUGUUUAUUAAAAACAUGUCUUUUUGAUAAUAAUUUAAAGUCUAAUCUGCCCACUGUAUAAAUGGCCGCAGUAUAUUGACUGUGCAAAGGUAGCAUAAUAAAUAGUUUAUUAAUUAUAAGCUAGUAUGAAUGAUUGAAUGAGGAAAAUUCUGUCUUUAGAAUUUUAUUUUUAAGUUAAAAAGCUUAAAUAAAUUUUAUAGACGAGAAGACCCUAUAGAGUUUUUUGAUUGGGGUGAUUAAAAAAUUUAAUGAACUUUUUUUU
Molecule: ribosomal RNA, 1136 nt
Filed under: Strongylium sp. NLG-2012
Lineage: Eukaryota; Metazoa; Arthropoda; Insecta; Coleoptera; Tenebrionidae
Description: partial 16S ribosomal RNA
Source: RNAcentral